RNAcentral lists this ribosomal RNA (400 nucleotides) under Shigella sp. FC1967. RNAcentral's name for it is "bacterial LSU rRNA". It matches the Rfam family "Bacterial large subunit ribosomal RNA", at positions 1296 to 1697 of the family's 2925-position model. Lineage: Bacteria; Pseudomonadati; Pseudomonadota; Gammaproteobacteria; Enterobacterales; Enterobacteriaceae. The record is from RNAcentral.
GCUGACAUAAGUAACGAUAAUGCGGGUGAAAAACCCGCACGCCGGAAGACCAAGGGUUCCUGUCCAACGUUAAUCGGGGCAGGGUGAGUCGACCCCUAAAGGCGAGGCUGAAAGCGUAGUCGGAUGGGAAACGGGUUAAUAUUCCCGUACUGGUGGUAACUGCGAUGGGGGAACGGAGAAGGCUAGGUUGUCCGGGCGACGGUCGUCCCGGUUCAAGCAUGUAGGCAGAGUGAUUAGGCAAAUCCGGUCACUUAAUGCUGAGGUGUGAUGACGAACCACUAAGGUGGUGAAGCAAUUGAUGCCCUGCUUCCAGGAAAAGCCUCUAAGCUUCAGGUUAUCAACAAUCGUACCCCAAACCGACACAGGUGGUCAGGUAGAGAAUACUCAGGCGCUUGAGAGA